AAAAAAAGGCAUAUGAUGAGGUUUGGACAUUGAGAGGUAUAGGCUGGCUGUAGGAGUCGGGUAAGUGCCAAGGAAAAGGGCCUCAGGGUAGCUUUUGAAUGGGAUUUGGCGACAGGGAAGGAGAGAAAGCUUUGGGGUGGUGAGAACAAGGGAAGGGAAAGGGAAAACAAAAGCGUGGAGGUGGGAAAGGAAACCUGGGGAGAAAGGUUUAUGCUGUGAUGCACAGUGACACGUACCUCUCUCUGUUCAGCAAGGUUCAUUCCGGCUAUUCAUUUAACAGCUGGAAAGUUCUAUAUCUGUGGCAAAGAUGAUCUGCGGUGGAGGGUUUAUUCCUGGCCCCUGGCCUUCCUGGCCUUGGUCUUUUGAGUGCUUGCCGGAUCCCUAGUUCCUUUCCGGUUCCAGUAGUGAGAGGAAUAAACACUUAAAACUCCAGUCCAAUACACUCUCAAUGUCAAUACCCUCCCUAUCUUUAAAAGAAGAAAAAAAAAUACUAAAUCAUCUUUGUUUAAAGAAUCCUGGCCCCUGUGAUUUGUUAAUUUGUUCGUGG
Molecule: long non-coding RNA, 547 nt
Filed under: Homo sapiens (human)
Lineage: Eukaryota; Metazoa; Chordata; Mammalia; Primates; Hominidae
Description: non-protein coding lnc-STIM2-4:5
Source: RNAcentral